Molecule: long non-coding RNA, 489 nt
Organism: Manis pentadactyla (Chinese pangolin)
Lineage: Eukaryota; Metazoa; Chordata; Mammalia; Pholidota; Manidae
Exons: 3
Source: RefSeq, a predicted model, not a curated record
CUUGUGGUGAGGAGUCUAGGUUCUGAGGACCUCGCCGCCCAGCCGCCCUCACUCUUCAAUCCUCGUGGAGUCCGGACACCCCCGUCCGCCCACCAGGACCGGGCUCCGCCUAUGAGGGACAAGUGGGGGCGUUUAACAGAGUGAGUGUGCUGCAGGACUGCCAGAACCCUGCAGAUGAGACUCCUUGAUUUUCUUUUCUGCUGAGGAACACGGAGAUAAAUUAUCUGUACGGACCACAAAAGCCUCAUCAUGCUGUUGGCCAUUCUUCUCACCAUAAAAAGAGAGCCCCCUGGACAUUAAAGCCACACUGAAGAAAGCAGAGCCAGGGCAUGGAGGUACACAGGACCCUAACACCAUCAUUUGAGCACGUGAAUUUAGCUUUUCCAAAAGCCAGUGGACUUCCUAGUUACUGAACCAACAAAUUUCCCUUUUUUAACUUAAGCUACUGUCUCACCUGAGGGGGAUUUCAGCCCUGGGCAAUUUCAGUGU